RNAcentral lists this ribosomal RNA (669 nucleotides) under uncultured bacterium. RNAcentral's name for it is "bacterial SSU rRNA". It matches the Rfam family "Bacterial small subunit ribosomal RNA", at positions 66 to 749 of the family's 1533-position model. The record is from RNAcentral.
ACGGACGAGGCCCCUUCGGGGACUGAGUUAGUGGCGAACGGGUGAGUAACGCGUGAGGAACCUGCCUUUCAGUGGGGGACAACAGUUGGAAACGACUGCUAAUACCGCAUAAAGCGUAGAGAUCGCAUGGUUUUUAUGCCAAAGAUUUAUUGCUGAAAGAUGGCCUCGCGUCUGAUUAGCUAGUUGGUGAGGUAACGGCCCACCAAGGCGACGAUCAGUAGCCGGUCUGAGAGGAUGAACGGCCACAUUGGGACUGAGAUACGGCCCAGACUCCUACGGGAGGCAGCAGUGGGGAAUAUUGGGCAAUGGGGGAAACCCUGACCCAGCAACGCCGCGUGAAGGAAGAAGGCUUUCGGGUUGUAAACUUCUUUUACCAGGGACGAAGAAAGUGACGGUACCUGGAGAAAAAGCCACGGCUAACUACGUGCCAGCAGCCGCGGUAAUACGUAGGUGGCAAGCGUUGUCCGGAUUUACUGGGUGUAAAGGGCGUGUAGGCGGAGAUUCAAGUCAGGAGUGAAAUCUAUGGGCUUAACCCAUAAACUGCUUUUGAAACUGAAUCCCUUGAGUAUCGGAGAGGCAGGCGGAAUUCCUAGUGUAGCGGUGAAAUGCGUAGAUAUUAGGAGGAACACCAGUGGCGAAGGCGGCCUGCUGGACGACAACUGACGCUGA